RNAcentral lists this unclassified non-coding RNA (925 nucleotides) under uncultured Synechococcus sp. Its description in RNAcentral is "partial contains 16S ribosomal RNA, 16S-23S ribosomal RNA intergenic spacer, and 23S ribosomal RNA". The stretch from base 1 to 120 matches the Rfam family "Bacterial small subunit ribosomal RNA", at positions 1415 to 1533 of the family's 1533-position model. Lineage: Bacteria; Bacillati; Cyanobacteriota; Cyanophyceae; Synechococcales; Synechococcaceae. The record is from RNAcentral.
UCACGCCCGAAGUCGUUACUCCAACCCUUGUGGAGGAGGACGUCGAAGGUGGGGCUGAUGACUGGGGUGAAGUCGUAACAAGGUAGCCGUACCGGAAGGUGCGGCUGGAUCACCUCCUAACAGGGAGACAAACAACGAUUUUGAUGUCUGAGUAUUUUAUUCUUAGGCCAAAAUCCUGUCACCUUAGGUCGAUCGGUACCUCAGCUUUGAAGCCAUCAAAUUUGCAGCGAUGCAAGUGAGGAUGGUGGAGAUUUUUAGUUCCUAAACUUUGUCUAGGUCACACCCCUGAAGGGAUGAGACCCCUGGGCCAUUAGCUCAGGUGGUUAGAGCGCACCCCUGAUAAGGGUGAGGUCCCUGGUUCAAGUCCAGGAUGGCCCAUUCGGUGUUGGGGGUUUAGCUCAGUUGGUAGAGCGCCUGCUUUGCAAGCAGGAUGUCAGGAGUUCGAGUCUCCUAACCUCCACUGACCAAACUGUAUCCCCAUCUCCAAAAGGAAUUGGAGUAUGAAUUCGAUUGGAGUGUGAUUUUAGACGUGUCCGCUGGAUGACCCCAGCUUCCUGUCAUUCCAAAUGAAAGCAAAAAGGAUUUUGCUAGUUAAAUUUGGUUGAUAAGAUGCUGGGCUCAAGUCAAAUGAUCAAGCAAUUGAUGAUUUGGUUUGAAGUUCUAGCAGAACCUUGACAACUGCAUAGGUAAGUCUGGAAAGAAUAAAGCAUCUCUCAUGGAUGCAUCAUUCUUUUUAAGGAUGAUGUCGAUUCUUGAGCAAGAGCCGAGACUCCAUCACGUUCUUUUGAUUGUGUCGAGCAAUCAAGAGUUUGAUUUUUGAUUCAGCAAUGAAUCAGGAAGAAUCUGUUUCAACAACAGCAAGCGUGUUGGAGAUUAUAUGGUCAAGCUACAAAGGGCUCACGGCGGAUACCUAGGCACACAGAGG